Molecule: ribosomal RNA, 501 nt
Filed under: uncultured Lachnospiraceae bacterium
Lineage: Bacteria; Bacillati; Bacillota; Clostridia; Lachnospirales; Lachnospiraceae
Description: bacterial SSU rRNA
Rfam family: Bacterial small subunit ribosomal RNA
Source: RNAcentral
AGAGUUUGUAUCCUGCGUCAGAUGAAGCUGGCGGCGUGCUUAACACAUAGCAAGUCGACGAAGACACUCUUUUAGAUUCUUCGGGAAGGAAGAAAUGUGACUGAGUGGCGGACGGGUGAGUAACGCGUGGGCAACCUGCCCCAUACAGGGGGAGUAACAGCCGGAAACGGCUGCUAAAACCGCAUAAGCGCACAAGGGCCGCAUGGCCUGGUGUGAAAAACUCCGGUGGUAUGGGAUGGGCCCGCGUCUGAUUAGCUAGUUGGCGGGGGAGAGGCCCACCAAGGCGACGAUCAGUAGCCGACCUGAGAGGGUGGCCGGCCACAUUGGGACUGAGACACGGCCCAAACUCCUACGGGAGGCAGCAGUGGGGAAUAUUGCACAAUGGGGGAAACCCUGAUGCAGCGACGCCGCGUGAGCGAAGCAGUAUUUCGGUAUGUAAAGCUCUAUCAGCAGGGAAGAAAAAUGACGGUACCUGAGUAAGAAGCACCGGCUAAAUACGUG